RNAcentral lists this ribosomal RNA (22 nucleotides) under Marasmius galbinus. Its description in RNAcentral is "partial 18S ribosomal RNA". Lineage: Eukaryota; Fungi; Basidiomycota; Agaricomycetes; Agaricales; Marasmiaceae. The record is from RNAcentral.
GGUGCCUGCGGAAGGAUCAUUA